Xiphophorus hellerii (green swordtail) is the source of this 2664-nucleotide long non-coding RNA. RefSeq lists it as uncharacterized. The record is from RefSeq and is a predicted model, not a curated record. The transcript has 5 exons. Lineage: Eukaryota; Metazoa; Chordata; Actinopteri; Cyprinodontiformes; Poeciliidae.
UUCCCGCGCCAUUCGCGUGCACGCGCGUGAGAGGGGACCAGACACGCAACCGUUAGGAGACUGUCUGGAGUCUGUCUCAAAUUGAUAAAUUUGGAAAUGGAGUUUUACGGGUCUCUGUGCAUCUACAAGGAAGCCGCCUGCUGGGAAAUUUGGAUUUUGCGCUCCUCCUCAGACGUCGCUUCACCUUGAGUCGCCACGCUUUUGACGAAAUGUUUAUUUUUCUUCUUUAGAAAACAAAAAACCCAAAGUUUUUCCCCCCUCUUCUGCAGUCCAUCAGCAGGCAGACAGCUCCUUGUGCCCAGGGAAUUGUUCCUCACCCAUGGAGUUCAAGAUGAGUGCAUCAUGCACGAGGCAGCCUAUUAAAGCACAUAAAGCUGCUGACAUUGACAGUUAUGAUUUCCUGUCAACAAAUGUGCAGAGAGAGCUGUGUUGGUGGACUAGGAGGAAGAUGUCACACUAAGGAUGGGGUUUUUUGGCGAUGAUGUUGGUGCUGUUGAUGCAGCAUCGAGCUCUCACUUUGUGCCUCUGUCAGCUAUGAUCCGUAACCAUAAAGUGAGUGACAGGCCAUUCUCCGGGGGGAAAGCAGAGGUCUGAGAAGCUCAGGCUCCUUUCAGAGGCAGCGAAGAAGACUGACCGUCUCGAAGACAGUGCUGGGAGCAGCCCCCAGUCUGCUCCAACGCUAGUCACUGGCCGUUAGACAUGGCGUUCAAAGACUAGCGGUGCAAGUAUGGAAAUGCAGAUAAGGCAUUGUUGAGGAAACAUGCCUGGGAAUUGUUCAAGGUUUUCACUUGCAUAAUGUUUGGAUGUUUUUUUUUGCAAAUGUUUUAAUCUGGAAACUAAUGAAUGUGAUUUUGAUUAGAUUUCAUGGAGAUUUCUUAUGUUUACACAUACAUUUGUGAACAUGUAAUGUAUUUUUUUGAGUAAACCAACAUAAUAAAGGUUUUAUGUAUGUAUAUUCACUAGAUGACUACAAAAAGAGCCAGAAACCUACUCAUGUAUAAUCUCCAAGGUUUUAUUUACUCUUUUCCGGCUUUUCAGGAGGCAGUUAAUUACACAAUUAAUACAUGAUACAAAUUAUGUACAUUUAUACCAAAGAAUACUUCCAACAUAAAAUAAAAAAUAGCAUUGUAUUCUACAACUCUGUGUUGUAAUUUCAUUUAAACAUGUUCAUAUAUAGAUAGAUAUACGCUGAUGAGUAAAUUCAUAAUGUCGUACCAGCAGUUCUCAUAAAGGCAUUAAAACUUGAGUAAGUCUGCAUUUGAAGUAACACUGCUUCUCUGAUUCGGCACAGUUCUGUUUCAGGAAAAAAAGUUCCAACUCGAACCUUUUAAGGCAAAGUGUGUUUCUGUUUGGUGGAUUUUUCUUUCUUUUUUUUUAUUCACACACACUUUUUGCAGAUGCACAACAAAAGAAAAAAAAACACAUUGAAAAAAAGGCAAAAAAGUCCACAAUUUGGUAUGGAUACAGUCUGAAACUCGAUCAUACUUUUUUUGUCCAUAAAGACCAAAGUUAAUAAACACAGUUGUUUUUGCCCAAAGUACAACAAAUUGCAGCUUUCAUGCAAAAAAGGCCCCAUAAACUUUUUUUUUUCAUUCACAAAGAAAAACAAACAAAAAGGAAACAAAAAGAAGUUAUUGCAAGAUAAACAAGCAGUGUAAACACCUCAGAUAUCUAUUCUAAAGCAACACUGGUCAUUGGAUAGAUUUUUUUCUCAAUAUAAUCUAUAUAAAUACACAUAUGAAGUCCUUUCAACAACGAUAAGAGAUUUGUAAUACAGUCACUGACGGAGUUCCCUUCUUUUUAUGAUAUAUGGAUAUGCAAUAAAAAUGUAAAUAGAGAAAGAUUUACCAAGAACAUCCAACAUCCUGCAUGUAAAAGUCUAAAGAGUGCGCAGAAAUGGUGUCAUCAUUGUCUUUAUGCUACAGAGUUGUUUCUGUGACUCAAAAGGCAGCAUUAUAGCCUUUGUUUAGCUACAAAAAAUUAUUUAUAUUGCUAUUUUAAACUAUAAUAGCUGCACUGAUGCAUUGGCAUAUAAUGAAGAGAACACGCACAUUUAUUUAAAGGCUGUGAGACGACCAUAAUCAUAUAAGCAAGGCCUACUUUUGUGUGUUAGUUACAAAAGAAAAUAAUAUAUAUAUUUUUUUUUGCUCUUUCACUUCCAGUGGCGGUUUUUGAGAUAUGGCUAUCUCCCCAGGGCGGCCUGUUCUGGGUGCGCCAUGACACAGAAGGGAGAAAGAACACAUCUUAACUGAGAAAAUUAUGAAAAGCAUAGUAUAAUUAGUGGUAAAAAAAAACAACCUCUACUGAUAUUUUCUGUAAUUCUUAUGUAUUAUCUCUAUUUAGAGAAAAAAGAUUAUUUUUAGUGAUGCACCAAUUAGAUUUUUCUGGCCAGUAUUCGGCUUGGUAUGAGGUGCUAAUUCUAAUUUUUAUGAAUUCAGAUUUUUAUGUUAAACUAAGACACAUCGAAGAGAAAAUAAAAUGUUUUGCAGCUUCUUUGAUAGGUGUAGUUUUAAUUCAAACAGCAAAUGUUGGAAGUACAAAAUUAUUGCAAUUUAUGCAUGAAGAAUAUAUCCCUAGCCUUAACUUGAUUUUGAACCAAAGACAACUACAUCAGAGUACACACUGCUUGUUGAUGUGUUUACAGACACAAAGUAAAAAAAAAAA